RNAcentral lists this ribosomal RNA (468 nucleotides) under uncultured bacterium. Its description in RNAcentral is "partial 16S ribosomal RNA". It matches the Rfam family "Bacterial small subunit ribosomal RNA", at positions 28 to 507 of the family's 1533-position model. The record is from RNAcentral.
GACGAACGCUGGCGGCGUGCUUAACACAUGCAAGUCGAACGGAAAGGCCCUGCUUUUGUGGGGUGCUCGAGUGGCGAACGGGCGAGUAACACGUGAGUAACCUGCCCUGGACUUUGGGAUAACUUCAGGAAACGGGGGCUAAUACCGGAUAGGAGCUCCUGCUGCAUGGAGGGGGUUGGAAAGUUUCGGCGGUUGGUGAUGGACUCGCGGUUUAUCAGCUUGUUGGAGGGGUAGUGGGUUCCCGAGGCUUCGGCGGGUAGCCGGCCUGAGAGGGUGACCGGCCACCUUGGGGCUGGAGUACGGCCCAGACUCCUCCGGGAGGCAGCAGGGGGGGAUAUUGCGCAAUGGGCGGAAGCCUGAUGCAGCAACUCCGCGUGCGGGAUGACGGCCUUCGGGUUGUAGACCGCUUUCGCCUGUGACGAAGCGUGCGUGACGGUAAUGGGUAAAGAAGCCCCGGCUAACUACGUG